RNAcentral lists this long non-coding RNA (1645 nucleotides) under Anser brachyrhynchus (Pink-footed goose). RNAcentral describes it as "lncRNA (ENSABRG00000017551.1)". The record is from RNAcentral. Lineage: Eukaryota; Metazoa; Chordata; Aves; Anseriformes; Anatidae.
GUUUUGCUUCAGUUUAUACAAGCAUCACUCAGGGGACAGUAUUUUAUCCUGGUCACGGUAACUUGGAUGCAAAGUGACUUCCCACUGGGUUGCUCCCCUCACCUCCCAGUUCUGCAUGGGGCCAGCUGUGACAAUGCCACUGCAGGUGCCCCAGGGUGGUCAAGUUGGCUCACAGCUGUACUCAGUGUCAGUAGUAAUUAUAAGGGUUAAUGUGAUUCGUUUCACUUGUGAUACUGGUAAGUAUCUACUGUUGUUGCCCUUGGCAGUAAAUUUCCCUUGUAUAAGUUCCUUGGUGUACAGCUUUCUGGUACCAGACACAAUCAUGUUAGGUAAGGGAGCAGCUGUGUGAGGGAAGUUGGAAAUGAAGGCAGAGGAAGGUGCAGCGAGAAAUAAUGAAGCUCAAAAAGAAGUACUGAAUUAUGAACUUGCCUUUCCCUUCCCUGUCCACAGCAGCUGGCUGCCACCCAAUGUGACCUUCCUUCUUGUCCUCUGCCCAUGUCCAGCUUCACCGUGGAGCAGCAUUGUCGACAAGAAAAGCACUAUGGCUGAACCACAGAAAUCUGUCAAUCUGCAGAAUACUCCAUUCCUGUGUGUGUGACCUAUUAAACCGUGGCACUGAAUCAUUCAUGUGGCACUGCAAAUAAGUGCUUGUCUGUGACGUGACACGAGGCUUCACUUGGAUAAAAAAGAGCAAGCUAAAGCUUCUUCUCGAUAAGUCUGCAGGCAGCGUAAAACUGGGAGGAGUUACUGCUGCACCAGUUGGGUUUGCUGCCUUUCAGAGGGCCCUCAACAGCUUGGAGAAGUGGCGCAGCAGGAACCUCGUGAAGUUCAACAAAGGAAAGUGCAAAGUCCUGCACCUGGGGAGGAAGAACCUCAUGCACCACAUGUGCUGGGGGAUCACUGGCUGGAAAGCAGCUUUGCAGAAAAGGCCUGAGGGAGUGUCCUGGUGGACACCAAGUUUACCAUGAGCCAGCAACGUGCCCUUGCUGCAUAAAAAGUCAACAGCCUCCAGGGCUGCGUUAGGAGGACAGUUGCCAGCAAGUUAAGGAAGGUGAUCCUUCCCCUCUGCUUAGCACUGGUGAGAUACUUCUGGCGUCCUGGGUCCAGUUCUGGGCUCCCCAGUACGAGAGGGACAUGGACAUGCUGCAGUGAGUGCACUGAAGGUCACAGAAGUAAUCAAGAGAGUGGAGCAUCUGUUAUGGGAGGAGAGGCUGAGUGCUGGGGCAGUUCAGCAUGGAGGAGGGAAGGCUCAGAGGGGUCUUGUCAGGGCAUGAAGAAGAUGGAGCCAGACUCUUCUCAGCAGUGUCCAGUGACAGCACAGAUGGCGAUGGGCACAAACUGAAAUGCUGAGAAUUACACUUAAACAUGAGAGAGGUUUCCCACCGUCUUUGAGGGUGGUUGGACACUGAAACAAGUUGCCCAGAGUGGGUGUGGAGUCAUCCUCCUUCAAGAUACUUCAAACCAGCCUGGAUAUGGUUCUGGGCAACGUGCUGUAGCUGACCCUGCUUCAGCAGGGAAGUUGGACUAGAUGACCUCCAGAGGUCCUUUGCAACCUCAGCCAUCCUGUGAUUCUGUGAAAAAUGGUAUGUAGACUGUGCUGGAGGUGCCAUACAGUGUGAUGACAGGAAAAUUGGUGUGAGGUUUG